GACGAACGCUGGCGGCGUGCUCAACACAUGCAAGUCGAACGAUGAAGCUAGAGCUUGCUCUGGUGAAUUAGUGGCGAACGGGUGAGUAACACGUGAGUAACCUGCCCCGAACUCUGGAAUAACUGCUGGAAACGGUAGCUAAUACUGGAUACGACCUACGAAGGCAUCUUCUGUAGGUGGAAAGAAUUUCGGUUCGGGAUGGACUCGCGGCCUAUCAGCUUGUUGGUGAGGUAAUGGCUCACCAAGGCGACGACGGGUAGCCGGCCUGAGAGGGUGACCGGCCACACUGGGACUGAGACACGGCCCAGACUCCUACGGGAGGCAGCAGUGGGGAAUAUUGCACAAUGGGCGCAAGCCUGAUGCAGCAACGCCGCGUGAGGGAUGACGGCCUUCGGGUUGUAAACCUCUUUUAGUAGGGAAGAAGCGAAAGUGACGGUACCUGCAGAAAAAGCACCGGCUAACUACGUGCCAGCCGCCGCGGUAA
This 484-nucleotide ribosomal RNA is filed under the name uncultured bacterium. Its description in RNAcentral is "partial 16S ribosomal RNA". It matches the Rfam family "Bacterial small subunit ribosomal RNA", at positions 28 to 523 of the family's 1533-position model. The record is from RNAcentral.